This 468-nucleotide ribosomal RNA is filed under the name uncultured bacterium. RNAcentral describes it as "partial 16S ribosomal RNA". It matches the Rfam family "Bacterial small subunit ribosomal RNA", at positions 28 to 507 of the family's 1533-position model. The record is from RNAcentral.
GACGAACGCUGGCGGCGUGCUUAACACAUGCAAGUCGAACGGACAGGCCCUGAUUUUGUGGGGUUCUCGAGUGGCGAGCGGGUGAGUAACACGUGAGUAACCUGCCCUUGACUUUGUGGUAACUUCAGGAAACUGGGGCGAAUAUCGGAUAGGAGCUUCUGCUCCGUGGUGGGGGUUGGAAAGUUUCGGCUGUUGGGGCUGGACUCGCGGCUUAUGAGCUUGUUGGUGGGGUAGUGGCUUACGAAGCCUUUGACGGAUAGCCGACAUGAGAGCGGGGCCGGCGACAAUAGGACUAAGGUACGGCCCAGACGCGUACGGGAGGCAGUAGGGGAGAGUAUUACACAAUGGGCGGAAGCGUGAUACAGAGACGCCGGGGUCGGAAAGACGGCCUUCGGGUUGAGAACCGCUUUGGCCUGUGACGAGGCGUGAGUGACGGUAAUGGGUAAAGAAGCACCGGCUAACUACGUG